UACAGAAAGGGUCAACGAGAUUCAGGAAUUUUCUGCAAGUUCAAGUCAUCAAAAUUUUGGUGGAUUCCCAUUAUCAAUGAGCAUGACUAGUUUACUUUUGGCACAACAAUCGCAGAACUCUAACCCUUUGCAAAUAGAUGACUCGCAGCAAAUCAUUAAUGAAAAUAAAUGAGUUGUUGCUGAAAUGGUGGAUGGCAUAUUGGAUGGUUGCUGAUGUUGGAUUCUGCUACUUUGAUGAAUUUGUUGUCCAGAUUUUUAUGUUGCGUUGUUGUCUAGAUUUUUGUCCAGAUUAGACUACAUUGCAUCGAAUCCCAAUAUUCUUACUGUCAUGUUGGUUUUGGUCCACUUCAACACUCAUACGCCUUGUUUCCUAAUUCUUACAAAAUUAUUUU
Molecule: long non-coding RNA, 392 nt
Organism: Salvia miltiorrhiza (redroot sage)
Lineage: Eukaryota; Viridiplantae; Streptophyta; Magnoliopsida; Lamiales; Lamiaceae
Exons: 3
Source: RefSeq, a predicted model, not a curated record